AGCGAACAAGUACCGCGAGGGAAAGAUGAAAAGAACUUUGAAAAAAGAGUCAAAGAGUGCUUGAAAUUGUCGGGAGGGAAGCGGAUGGGGGUCGGCGAUGCGUCCCGGUCGGAUGUGGAACGGCGACGAGCCGGUCCGCCGAUCGACUCGGGGCGUGGACCAGCACGAAUUGAGGCGGCGGCCAAAGCCCGGGCAGUCGAUAUGCCCGUGGAAUGCCGUCGCCCCGAUUGUGGCGGACAGCGCGCGCCCUCGGCGUGCCUCGGCAUCUGCGCGCUCCCGGUGCUGGCCUGCGGGCUCCCCAUUCGACCCGUCUUGGAACACGGACCAAGGAGUCUAACAUAUCUGCGAGUAUUUGGGUGUCAAACCCGAGUGCGCAAUGAAAGUGAACGUAGGAGCGAUGCGCAAGCUGCAGCUUCGACCGAUCUGGAUCUUUAGUGAUGGAUUUGAGUAAGAGCAUAUAUGUUGGGACCCGAAAGAUGGUGAACUAUGCCUGAAUAGGGCGAAGCCAGGGGAAACUCUGGUGGAGGCUCGUAGGGAUUCUGACGUGCAAAUCGAUCUUCAAAUUUGGGUAUAGGGGCGAAAGACUAAUCGAACCAUACUAGUAGCUGGUUCCCUCCGAAAUUUCCCUUAGGAUAGCUGCAACCGGUUAAGAGUUUUAUCAGGUAAAGCGAAUGAUUAGAGG
RNAcentral lists this ribosomal RNA (682 nucleotides) under Ochromonas sp. CCMP1393. RNAcentral's name for it is "partial Eukaryotic large subunit ribosomal RNA". It matches the Rfam family "Eukaryotic large subunit ribosomal RNA", at positions 339 to 1027 of the family's 3401-position model. Lineage: Eukaryota; Chrysophyceae; Chromulinales; Chromulinaceae. The record is from RNAcentral.